AAACUUGAGGAAAAUAAGCCAGCAUUCAAUAUUCAUUCACCUCUGCCGACGCAGCAAAGAUGAGAAAAGAUACACUCUAAACGCCUUAGACCAACCAGCAAAUUUUCAAUGAACCAAGUGCCAAGCCAAUAAUAAAAUGUGCCUCAGAGCUAGACUCAAAAACACGGUCCCAAAACCGGAGCGCCAACAUAACAACCCUGCAAACCCUCUACAAGUUGUC
This 220-nucleotide long non-coding RNA is filed under the name Lathyrus oleraceus (garden pea). RNAcentral describes it as "Pisum sativum (pea) long non-coding RNA (PSAT_LNC029925)". The record is from RNAcentral. Lineage: Eukaryota; Viridiplantae; Streptophyta; Magnoliopsida; Fabales; Fabaceae.